Non-coding RNA from Ciona savignyi (Pacific transparent sea squirt), 119 nucleotides. NCBI's taxonomy places the organism in Eukaryota, Metazoa, Chordata, Ascidiacea, Phlebobranchia, Cionidae. The record is from Rfam.
GCUUAUCACCAUUCCAGACUGAAUAUACCCGAUCUAGUCUGAUCUCGCAAGUCAAGCAAUCUCGGGCUUGGUUAGUACUUGGAUGGGUGACCGCUUGGGAAUACCAAGUGUGAUAAGCA